GUGCAAUGGCAUAAGCCAGCUUGACUGCGAGCGUGACGGCGCGAGCAGGUGCGAAAGCAGGUCAUAGUGAUCCGGUGGUUCUGAAUGGAAGGGCCAUCGCUCAACGGAUAAAAGGUACUCCGGGGAUAACAGGCUGAUACCGCCCAAGAGUUCAUAUCGACGGCGGUGUUUGGCACCUCGAUGUCGGCUCAUCACAUCCUGGGGCUGAAGUAGGUCCCAAGGGUAUGGCUGUUCGCCAUUUAAAGUGGUACGCGAGCUGGGUUUAGAACGUCGUGAGACAGUUCGGUCCCUAUCUGCCGUGGGCGCUGGAGAACUGAGGGGGGCUGCUCCUAGUACGAGAGGACCGGAGUGGACGCAUCACUGGUGUUCGGGUUGUCAUGCCAAUGGCACUGCCCGGUAGCUAAAUGCGGAAGAGAUAAGUGCUGAAAGCAUCUAAGCACGAAACUUGCCCCGAGAUGAGUUCUCCCUGACUCCUUGAGAGUCCUGAAGGAACGUUGAA
Molecule: ribosomal RNA, 499 nt
Filed under: Escherichia coli
Lineage: Bacteria; Pseudomonadati; Pseudomonadota; Gammaproteobacteria; Enterobacterales; Enterobacteriaceae
Description: partial 23S ribosomal RNA
Rfam family: Bacterial large subunit ribosomal RNA
Source: RNAcentral